Ribosomal RNA from Mesitornis unicolor (brown roatelo), 312 nucleotides. It matches the Rfam family "Eukaryotic large subunit ribosomal RNA", at positions 1 to 296 of the family's 3401-position model. The record is from Rfam. NCBI's taxonomy places the organism in Eukaryota, Metazoa, Chordata, Aves, Mesitornithiformes, Mesitornithidae.
CGACCUCAGAUCAGACGUGGCGACCCGCUGAAUUUAAGCAUAUUAGUCAGCGGAGGAAAAGAAACUAACGAGGAUUCCCUCAGUAACGGCGAGUGAAGAGGGAAGAGCCCAGCGCCGAAUCCCCGCCCCGCGGUGGGGCGCGGGACAUGUGGCGUACAGAAGCCCCCCUCCCCGGCGGCGCUCUCGGGGGACCCAAGUCCUUGUGAUCGAGGCCGCAGCCCGCGGACGGUGUGAGGCCGGUAGCGGCCCCCCGGCGCGCCGGGCCCGGGGCUUCUCGGAGUCGGGUUGCUUGGGAAUGCAGCCCAAAGCGGG